CUGUCACAACGGCUUCCUGGCGUGACAGAUGAAAUCUAACGGAGCA
This 46-nucleotide non-coding RNA is filed under the name Cognatishimia activa. RNAcentral describes it as "SAM-SAH-Weickhmann-2018 RNA". It matches the Rfam family "SAM/SAH riboswitch aptamer". Lineage: Bacteria; Pseudomonadati; Pseudomonadota; Alphaproteobacteria; Rhodobacterales; Paracoccaceae. The record is from RNAcentral.